GGGGUGGAGAGGAUUGGGAGCACUUCAGAGAAAAGAUCUGAGAGAAAAGCCUGGGACUCUGCCACCCAGCUCCCUGGCCCCUGGGAGAAGCCAUGGCAGAUAUUUGGGAUGAGGCAGCAUGCUGGUCCCUCAGCAGCAUCCUUAUCACGUCAGCUGUGAGAGAAAUAAAACUGUGAGACUGUGAAGUGUAUAAAGGAUUCUACCGCUCUCCCGGGGCUUGGAGACCCACAGAUUGGAGAAAUCUCCAUCUCAAUCUUCUUUGCCACGUCAUGCAUGCCCUUGAAGCAUUAGAAUUCCUUAAAGCUUCAUGGGAGAAUGCCAUGGGAUGAUGAAGACAGAGAUUGGAGUCAUGCAUCUGCAAGCCAAGAAAUGUACAAGAUUGCUGGCAAACCACCAGAAGCUAGGAGCAGACAAGGAAGGAUCCUCCCCUAAAGGUUUCAGAGGGAGCCAUGGCCUUGCUGACAUCUUGAUUUCAGACUUCUAUCCUCCAGAAUGGGGACCUCUGAGGGUCUAUUUGAGGGCAUGAAUAUGGAAAAUUCAGCUCCAGCUCCUCCACCCCACUCCCUGAACAGCACUGCAGAACUGUGCUAAGCUCCUGUGGCUUGGAAAGAACAGAUGCAAGAGACAUAGGAAUGAAGAAAUAGAUGGUGUCACCUCCUUUAAUUUCCUAGAAAGAGAAAACAAGGCACUGAUGCAGCCCGCGAUGAGCAGGAAUGGGAACCUGCAAUCUCCUGGAAUCUGCAACACAUUGCUGCUCUAUCAGAAGAAGAAAUGCAAGGAAGAAGUCAGAUAAGAUGCUCUAACAAUCCUUGGGUCACUGGAUUCCUCCUAGAACCUCCCUUCCUUCUGGAAAGCCAUCAAAAGUAAAGGCACUGGCCCUAUAGGACCACAGGGUCACUUAAGGAACAUUACAGAGCAAUGAUUCUUGACCUUCUCAGCUUCAAACUCCCUUCUAGAAAUUGCACCCCCUUCCCCACCUCACACUAUUUGUUCCAAAGGCUUUUAUCUACCAAAGUUGAUGGGGGGGCUCUAAGAACAGCUUGAGAUUUACUGGUCAUACCCCAGAGUCCCUGUGCUGACAUCGACAUCUUUCCCAUCCACACAAAUUAUCCGUCGUUAACACAUGGACGUGCUAUAUUUCUAACCAAAUCAAAGAACUUGUACCGAUCUUUUCUGCAGCCUUAUUCUGAGUAAAUAUGUGAUUUCCAUUAGGCUUUUUGAAAUAUGUAAAAUAUAUAGACUCCCAUUACCACCUUCAGGACCUCUAGGUGUUUGGGGACCUUUACUAGGAAUUCACUCCUAUGCCCAAAAUGAGUUUGAAGAUGAAAAUUAUAGCUAGGCGGGGAAAGAACUGUUGGUGUAACAAGAUAUUUAAAAGCAAAAAUUUUUCCCCACCUGGGUAGGUCAGGGCCUAGCAUUGGAGAAAGGGAUGUUUUCAAAAUGAGAGUAACUGCUAAAGCAAAAUGUGUAAAACUGAGACAUUGGGCAAAGAAGGGAAAAGAAGGGAAGGGUGUUGGCUUAUAAGAGAAGACAAUUCUGCUGUGUUAAACUGUUUCCCCUGAAACAACAUUUCCACUCAGCUGGGAAAUUUUCUGGGCUCCUGAAACUUCAUUAGGUUUCUGGCAAUUACCCCAAGGAGACCCCCUAAAAGGUAGGCAAUAGUUACACAACUGACAUGCAUUGUGUGACAGAAAUAAAGGAAGCUGCACAUGCUUUUAUUCAUUAACGUAUUUUUUCCACAGUGCCAUAAGGAAGGAAAUUGUAAAUUUGUAAUCAGGCAGAUCUCUAAGUUUUCCAAGAAUGGCUGUUCUCUUCCCAACUAGGGUUAAAAGACAAUUUGUUGCACUCUGGGCAAAUCCCGACUUGGUUCCUGUCUUACUUAAGGUUUCAGAAAUAGUCAUAAAUCUUUUAAAAUAUUUAUUAUUAAUUCAUUUUGGGGCAGCUUUUAUGAUUCUAAAACUUCAGGAUCUGUUUGAAUGUUUCCUGAGUCUCAAGUUUCAUGGAGAAAGGCUGACAGGGAACCAAAUUCCACCAGUGGUUUGGUGGUGUGUGAGCAGGCCAUCAGCCAGAACAUUCUAACAUGUCUACAAAGGGCGUGAUUUGGGGUCGUCUCUGCCGAGAAAUUCUAUGGACUAGGGGGAAACACUUUCUUCUUUCCCCCAGUACUAUUUGGACUAGUUUCUAAAAAUGGACAGAAACACCCUGUCAGCCUUGUGAGAAAUCCAAUCAUCUUGUUAAUAAACAGAAAAGGGUACUAUCAACAUGACUUAUUUUCCACUAACUAGUUAAUGCAAGUAAGACAAGCUAAUAGGCAAAAUUCAGAUUUCAUUUCAUCUAUUGCUUCACCCCACACCAAAUGUAAAUGUAAAAGUCUCCUGAAUUGGGUGUGUUAUAAUCUCGGUCCACUGACAGAUUAUCUAGAAGCAGACUCACAUUUCCCCCAAAAAAGAACCCUGUAAAAAUAGCCAUUGCUCUGUGUAGAUAUCAAAUCUGUGCCUCCUGCAGGGAGUGCAGUGGAUGCAGAAACCCAAAUCCACCUUCAGGAGAGGCAGCCUGGAGGAGUAGCAUGAAGCAAGGAAAGAAGAGUUGGUGGAUGGGUUCUCAAAAAAUCUUCCUUACAGCCAAGUCUGUGAGGUCAGGGGAUAGUCUCCCAAGGGAAGUGGUGGGAGCCCCACAGUUAGAGGCAUUUAGAAGGGGCCUUGAUGGAAAAAUGGAAAUGUAACCCUAGGUUAAAAACUGUGCCCUGAAAAGGGAUAAGGGAGACAAGCUUAAAGAGAUUCUUUCAGCUCUAAUUUCUAAGAAUCCCAUUAG
Molecule: long non-coding RNA, 2811 nt
Filed under: Homo sapiens (human)
Lineage: Eukaryota; Metazoa; Chordata; Mammalia; Primates; Hominidae
Description: novel transcript
Source: RNAcentral